GGGGGUCAUAAUGGCAGUCGAGGGGCAGCGGGGAGGUACAAUACUUCCGCCGGCGACCGGCGCACGGGUGAGUAACACGUAUGGAACCUGCCCGUAGCAGGGGGAUAAGCGGAAGAAAUUCCGUCUAAUACCGCGUAAUAACUCCGAGAGGCAUCUCAUGGAGUUUAAAGGGCAACACCGGCUACGGAUGGCCAUGCGGCGCAUUAGCUAGUUGGCGGGGUAACGGCCCACCAAGGCGACGAUGCGUAGGGGUUCUGAGAGGAAGGUCCCCCACACUGGUACUGAGACACGGACCAGACUCCUACGGGAGGCAGCAGUGAGGAAUAUUGGUCAAUGGGCGCGAGCCUGAACCAGCCAAGUCGCGUGAGGGAAGACGGUCCUAUGGAUUGUAAACCUCUUUUGUCGGGGAGCAAAAGACGCCACGUGUGGCGUUCCGAGAGUACCCGAAGAAAAAGCAUCGGCUAACUCCGUGCCAGCAGCCGCGGUAAUACGGAGGAUGCGAGCGUUAUCCGGAUUUAUUGGGUUUAAAGGGUGCGCAGGCGGAAGAUCAAGUCAGCGGUAAAAUUGAGAGGCUCAACCUCUUCGAGCCGUUGAAACUGGUUUUCUUGAGUGAGCGAGAA
RNAcentral lists this ribosomal RNA (620 nucleotides) under uncultured bacterium. RNAcentral describes it as "bacterial SSU rRNA". It matches the Rfam family "Bacterial small subunit ribosomal RNA", at positions 44 to 656 of the family's 1533-position model. The record is from RNAcentral.